This 460-nucleotide ribosomal RNA is filed under the name uncultured bacterium. RNAcentral's name for it is "partial 16S ribosomal RNA". It matches the Rfam family "Bacterial small subunit ribosomal RNA", at positions 338 to 795 of the family's 1533-position model. The record is from RNAcentral.
CCUACGGGAGGCAGCAGUGAGGAAUAUUGGUCAAUGGACGAGAGUCUGAACCAGCCAAGUAGCGUGAAGGAUGACUGCCCUAUGGGUUGUAAACUUCUUUUAUAUGGGAGUAAAAUGUUCCACGUGUGGGAUUUUGUAUGUACCAUAUGAAUAAGGAUCGGCUAACUCCGUGCCAGCAGCCGCGGUAAUACGGAGGAUCCAAGCGUUAUCCGGAUUUAUUGGGUUUAAUGGGAGCGUAGGUGGAGUGUUAAGUCAGUUGUGAAAGUUUGCGGCUCAACCGUAAAAUUGCAGUUGAAACUGGCCGUCUAGAGUACAGUAGAGGUAGGCGGAAUGUGUGGUGUAGCGGUGAAAUGCUUAGAUAUCACGCAGAACACCGAUUGCGAAGGCAGUUCACUAGACUGCAACUGACACUGAGGCUCGAAAGUGUGGGUAUCAAACAGGAUUAGAUACCCUUGUAGUC